GAUGAACGCUGGCGGCGUGCCUAACACAUGCAAGUCGAGCGGUAUAUGGUGGAAUGAAACUUCGGUCGAGUGAAGCCAUAGAGAGCGGCGGACGGGUGAGUAACGCGUAGGCAACCUGCCUAUAACUGGGGGAUAACACAGGGAAACUUGUGCUAAUACCGCAUAACACAGCGAAGAAGCAUUUCUUUGUUGUCAAAGGAGCAAUCCGGUGAUAGAUGGGCCCGCGUCCAAUUAGCUAGUUGGUGAUGUAACGGACCACCAAGGCGACGAUUGGUAGCCGAACUGAGAGGUUGAUCGGCCACAUUGGGACUGAGACACGGCCCAGACUCCUACGGGAGGCAGCAGUGGGGAAUAUUGCACAAUGGGGGAAACCCUGAUGCAGCAACGCCGCGUGAAGGAUGAAGGUUUUCGGAUUGUAAACUUCUUUAGUCGGGGACGAAUAAAUGACGGUACCCGAAGAAUAAGCCACGGCUAACUACGUGCCAGCAGCCGCGGUAAUU
Molecule: ribosomal RNA, 500 nt
Filed under: uncultured bacterium
Lineage: Bacteria
Description: bacterial SSU rRNA
Rfam family: Bacterial small subunit ribosomal RNA
Source: RNAcentral